Molecule: long non-coding RNA, 1009 nt
Filed under: Parus major (Great Tit)
Lineage: Eukaryota; Metazoa; Chordata; Aves; Passeriformes; Paridae
Description: lncRNA (ENSPMJG00000013716.1)
Source: RNAcentral
CUUACAUUUACUUAUUUUUUUUAUUCAGUGACAAUUGUUUUUUCCUGGGAAAUGAAGGUAUGUAAUUGUUUUUAUCUGCCUCAAAAGUGACUUUGAAUCUGCAAAAUAGAGUAAAACUUACAUUUUUAUUUCUUAGGUACCUGAGAAUCCCACUCAAGCCUCAUGAUCUACUUGUGCUAUUCUGAUCAUUAAGAUGAAGGAGUCAAAAUGACUGCUUUGCUUCUGCUGUAUGUGUCUUGGAAAUGGAUUUUUCUAUGAAGUCUGUGGAAGCUUGUUACCAUGUUAAAUGCCCAGCUUUCAUUAAAUCUACACCUGAAGGAAACAUGGAAGAGGUCUUUUCCAACUGCUGUAUGAAAUCUCUAACAGCUCAGGUGUAUGUGUUUACUAUGAAUUGAACUCAAAGCUCUUAAGUAAUGCUGUGUGUUUAGCCUGUUUACUCCCCAAAGUAGCUGGAGAAUUAUCUGUGCAUUUUCCACAUUGUUUUCAGUGUGCUGCUUUGUUUGAUGGUGGUUUAUUAAUGAUACUUGUGAUUUAUUACUGUCACUUUAUUAGAUUAUUUGCAAAUCGGUGACAAAGCACUAUGUGGAUCAUGCCUUGUUAGUCAUAAAAGCACUCAAGAAGCCAUGAAAAUCAGUUAAGCUUGAACCUAUUGAAUGAAGGAGCAUAGUGCUCUCUAUUGAUCAGGAGCCUUUAGAUAUGUAAUGAAUAGUAGUACCUUUGUAGCACUGUCAGAUAGUGUUUUCCUUUGGAUCUGAUAAAUUACACCCUUUUGUACCAGUGGCUUGAGAUUUGGCAUAAAACAUUCUUGUAUUAGUAUUUCUUUCAGCUCCAGUACUGGGGUGAUCUUACGUGACCGAGGCAGAUAAAUGUUAGAAGAAAAAUUGAUAUUUGCUCUCCCAACAUAGUGUUGACCAUUGAAUUAACACUGAUCUGACUUUCCUAUGUGUGCAGGAGACUGAGGGCUUGAUUACAAAUGAUUAGCAGAACAUUUUUACAGCCUGUGUGCAUG